RNAcentral lists this ribosomal RNA (1109 nucleotides) under Aster yellows phytoplasma. Its description in RNAcentral is "bacterial SSU rRNA". It matches the Rfam family "Bacterial small subunit ribosomal RNA", at positions 223 to 1340 of the family's 1533-position model. Lineage: Bacteria; Bacillati; Mycoplasmatota; Mollicutes; Acholeplasmatales; Acholeplasmataceae. The record is from RNAcentral.
GGAGGAGCUUGCGUCACAUUAGUUAGUUGGUGGGGUAAAGGCCUACCAAGACUAUGAUGUGUAGCCGGGCUGAGAGGUUGAACGGCCACAUUGGGACUGAGACACGGCCCAAACUCCUACGGGAGGCAGCAGUAGGGAAUUUUCGGCAAUGGAGGAAACUCUGACCGAGCAACGCCGCGUGAACGAUGAAGUAUUUCGGUACGUAAAGUUCUUUUAUUAGGGAAGAAUAAAUGAUGGAAAAAUCAUUCUGACGGUACCUAAUGAAUAAGCCCCGGCUAACUAUGUGCCAGCAGCCGCGGUAAUACAUAGGGGGCAAGCGUUAUCCGGAAUUAUUGGGCGUAAAGGGUGCGUAGGCGGUUAAAUAAGUUUAUGGUCUAAGUGCAAUGCUCAACAUUGUGAUGCUAUAAAAACUGUUUAGCUAGAGUAAGAUAGAGGCAAGUGGAAUUCCAUGUGUAGUGGUAAAAUGCGUAAAUAUAUGGAGGAACACCAGUAGCGAAGGCGGCUUGCUGGGUCUUUACUGACGCUGAGGCACGAAAGCGUGGGGAGCAAACAGGAUUAGAUACCCUGGUAGUCCACGCCGUAAACGAUGAGUACUAAACGUUGGGUAAAACCAGUGUUGAAGUUAACACAUUAAGUACUCCGCCUGAGUAGUACGUACGCAAGUAUGAAACUUAAAGGAAUUGACGGGACUCCGCACAAGCGGUGGAUCAUGUUGUUUAAUUCGAAGGUACCCGAAAAACCUCACCAGGUCUUGACAUGCUUCUGCAAAACUGUAGAAACACAGUAGAGGUUAUCAGUUGCACAGGUGGUGCAUGGUUGUCGUCAGCUCGUGUCGUGAGAUGUUGGGUUAAGUCCCGCAACGAGCGCAACCCUUAUUGUUAGUUACCAGCACGUAAUGGUGGGGACUUUAGCAAGACUGCCAGUGAUAAAUUGGAGGAAGGUGGGGACGACGUCAAAUCAUCAUGCCCCUUAUGACCUGGGCUACAAACGUGAUACAAUGGCUGUUACAAAGGGUAGCUGAAGCGCAAGUUUUUGGCGAAUCUCAAAAAAACAGUCUCAGUUCGGAUUGAAGUCUGCAACUCGACUUCAUGAAGUUGGAAUCGCUAGUA